CAGCAGCCGCGGUAAUACAGAGGGUGCGAGCGUUAAUCGGAUUUACUGGGCGUAAAGCGUGCGUAGGCGGCUAAUUGAGUCGGAUGUGAAAUCCCCGAGCUUAACUUGGGAAUUGCAUUCGAUACUGGUUAGCUAGAGUGUGGGAGAGGAUGGUAGAAUUCCAGGUGUAGCGGUGAAAUGCGUAGAGAUCUGGAGGAAUACCGAUGGCGAAGGCAGCCAUCUGGCCUAACACUGACGCUGAGGUACGAAAGCAUGGGGAGCAAACAGGAUUAGAGACCCCGGUAGUCCCUGUCUCUUAUAC
This 301-nucleotide ribosomal RNA is filed under the name uncultured bacterium. Its description in RNAcentral is "partial 16S ribosomal RNA". It matches the Rfam family "Bacterial small subunit ribosomal RNA", at positions 509 to 807 of the family's 1533-position model. The record is from RNAcentral.